AACGCACCUUGCACCCUUUGGUAUUCCGAAGGGUACACCCGUUUGAGUGUCAUUGUAAUCUCACUAUGAUUGACUUUCUGGUCUUUCCUAUGUGGACUUGGAUGUUGCCGUUGGAUCUCAAUGGCUCGUCUGAAAUGCUUCAGUGUACCCUGCUUUGCGGCGUAUUCGGUGUGAUACAUCUUCACCGGAGUUGAUCCUUCUGGGUCACGUCUGUAAUGAGUAUGGCUCUAUGCUUCCAACCGUCUGUGACAAGACAAUACUCUGACAAUUUGACCUCAAAUCGGGUGGGACUACCCGCUGAACUUAA
Molecule: unclassified non-coding RNA, 307 nt
Filed under: uncultured fungus
Lineage: Eukaryota; Fungi
Description: sequence contains ITS2
Source: RNAcentral